CUGCCGCGUGAGUGAUGAAGGCCUUAGGGUUGUAAAGCUCUUUCACCGGGGAAGAUAAUGACGGUAUCCGGAGAAGAAGCCCCGGCUAACUUCGUGCCAGCAGCCGCGGUAAUAGUACGUGCCAGCAGCCGCGGUAAUAAUA
Molecule: ribosomal RNA, 142 nt
Filed under: uncultured bacterium
Lineage: Bacteria
Description: partial 16S ribosomal RNA
Rfam family: Bacterial small subunit ribosomal RNA
Source: RNAcentral